Molecule: ribosomal RNA, 2568 nt
Filed under: Clostridioides difficile
Lineage: Bacteria; Bacillati; Bacillota; Clostridia; Peptostreptococcales; Peptostreptococcaceae
Description: bacterial LSU rRNA
Rfam family: Bacterial large subunit ribosomal RNA
Source: RNAcentral
UGAAGAGGUUUGGAAAGACCCACCACAGAAGGUAAUAGUCCUGUAUGUUAAACGAGAAGACUUUAGAUAUGAUCCAGAGUACCACGGGACACGUGAAACCCUGUGGGAAGCAGGAGGGACCACCCUCCAAGGCUAAAUACUACCUAGUGACCGAUAGCGUAUAGUACCGUGAGGGAAAGGUGAAAAGAACCCCGGGAGGGGAGUGAAAUAGAACCUGAAACCCUGCACUUACAAGCUGUGGAAGCACAUUUCUUGUGUGACCGCGUACUUUUUGUAGAACGGGCCAACGAGUUACGUUAAGUAGCAAGGUUAAGCACUUAAGGUGCGGAGCCGUAGCGAAAGCGAGUUUUAACUGAGCGUUCAGUUACUUGACGUAGACCCGAAACCGGGCGACCUACCCAUGAGCAGGAUGAAGCGAAAGUAAAAUUUCGUGGAGGUCCGAACCCACGAGCGUUGAAAAGCUCGGGGAUGACUUGUGGGUAGCGGUGAAAUUCCAAUCGAGCCCGGAGAUAGCUGGUUCUCCCCGAAAUAGCUUUAGGGCUAGCCUCAAGGUGAGAGAUACGGAGGUAGAGCACUGAAUGUCCUAGGGGGUAUUGCACCUACCGAAGACUAUCAAACUCCGAAUGCCGUCAUCUUAUACUUGGGAGUCAGACUGUGGGUGAUAAGAUUCAUAGUCGAAAGGGCAACAGCCCAGAUCGUCAGCUAAGGUCCCUAAAUGUAAGUUAAGUGGUAAAGGAUGUGGGAUUGCACAGACAACCAGGAUGUUGGCUUAGAAGCAGCCACUCAUUCAAAGAGUGCGUAAUAGCUCACUGGUCGAGUGAUCCUGCGCCGAAGAUUUCCGGGGCUAAAACUUACUACCGAAGCUACGGCAUCAGUAAUGAUGGGUAGGGGAGCUUCCCAUACGGGUUGAAGCAUGACCGUAAGGACAUGUGGACAGUAUGGGAGUGAGAAUGUUGGCAUGAGUAGCGAGAUGUGGGUGAGAAUCCCACAGGCCGUAAACCCAAGGUUUCCAGGGGAAGGUUCGUCCGCCCUGGGUUAGUCGGGACCUAAGCUGAGGCCGAAAGGCGUAGGUGAUGGACAACAGGUUGAUAUUCCUGUACUACCGAUAACCGUUUGAGAGAAGGGAUGACACAGUAGGAUAAGCUAAGCACACUGUUGGUUAUGUGUGCCCAAGCAUUGAGGCAGUCAAAGUAGGCAAAUCCGCUUUGAUAAUGCUGGGAUGUGAUGGGGAGCGAAAUUUAGUAGCGAAGUAGCUGAUUUCACACUGUCAAGAAAAGUCUCUAUCGAGGUUAAAGGUACCCGUACCGCAAACCGACACAGGUGGGUGAGGAGAGUAUCCUAAGGCCAGCGAGAGAACUGUUGUUAAGGAACUCGGCAAAAUGACCCCGUAACUUAGGGAUAAGGGGUGCCACCAUCAGGUGGCCGCAGAGAAUAGGCCCAAGCGACUGUUUACCAAAAACAUAGGUUUCUGCUAAGUCGCAAGACGAUGUAUAGGAGCUGACGCCUGCCCGGUGCUGGAAGGUUAAGGGGAUCUGUUAGAGCAAUCGAAGCAGUGAACUUAAGCCCCAGUAAACGGCGGCCGUAACUAUAACGGUCCUAAGGUAGCGAAAUUCCUUGUCGGGUAAGUUCCGACCCGCACGAAAGGCGUAACGAUUUGGGCACUGUCUCAACAACAGACUCGGUGAAAUUGUAAUUCCGGUGAAGAUGCCGGAUACCUGCGACAGGACGGAAAGACCCCAUGGAGCUUUACUGUAGCUUGACAUUGGGUCUUGGUACUACAUGUACAGGAUAGGUGGGAGGCUUUGAAACCAGGACGCCAGUUUUGGCGGAGCCAUCCUUGGGAUACCACCCUUGUAGUACUGGGACUCUAACCAUAGGCCAUGAAUCUGGUCUUGGGACACUGUCAGGUGGGCAGUUUGACUGGGGCGGUCGCCUCCCAAAAGGUAACGGAGGCGCUCAAAGGUUCUCUCAGUACGGUCGGAAAUCGUACGUAGAGUGUAAAGGCAAAAGAGAGCUUGAUUGCAAGACAUACAGGUCGAGCAAGGAUGAAAAUCGGACUUAGUGAUCCGGUGGUUCUGCGUGGAAGGGCCAUCGCUCAACGGAUAAAAGCUACCCUGGGGAUAACAGGCUUAUCUCCCCCAAGAGUCCACAUCGACGGGGAGGUUUGGCACCUCGAUGUCGGCUCAUCACAUCCUGGGGCUGUAGUAGGUCCCAAGGGUUGGGCUGUUCGCCCAUUAAAGUGGUACGCGAGCUGGGUUCAGAACGUCGUGAGACAGUUCGGUCCCUAUCCGUCGCAGGCGUAGGAAAUUUGAGAAGACCUGUCCUUAGUACGAGAGGACCGGGAUGGACGUACCUCUGGUGUACCAGUUGUCCUGCCAAGGGCAUGGCUGGGUAGCUAUGUACGGAAUGGAUAAGCGCUGAAAGCAUCUAAGCGCGAAGCCAACUUCAAGAUAAGAUUUCCCACCGCAAGGGUAAGACCCCAGAAAGACUAUCUGGUUGAUAGGUCGAAGGUGUAAGUGCAGCAAUGUAUUUAGCUUAUCGAUACUAAUAGGUCGAGGACUUGACCAA